This 71-nucleotide transfer RNA is filed under the name Bos taurus (domestic cattle). It matches the Rfam family "tRNA". Rfam says of the family: Transfer RNA (tRNA) molecules are approximately 80 nucleotides in length. Their secondary structure includes four short double-helical elements and three loops (D, anti-codon, and T loops). The record is from Rfam by way of RNAcentral. RNAcentral also lists the same sequence under 1 other name. Lineage: Eukaryota; Metazoa; Chordata; Mammalia; Artiodactyla; Bovidae.
CCUGGCGGCUCAGACGGUAAAAGCAUCCCCCUACAAUGGGGGAGGACCCAGGUUCGAUCCCUGGGUCGGGA